CAGGUCCGUGAAUCACUAUCAGGAAAGCUGUCAUUAAAAAGUUUGACUCGUCCAAAGAGCACUAGUGCGGAAACAUUUUCAAGUAGACUGGGUUUCUUCCAAAGGAAGCUGAGGAAAAAUGUGUACAACACGUCUGACCACAGUGCAGCUUCAUCCUCAAACCACUUCAGUGCCUCGGACUCAUAAACAUUCUUCAUUAACUACAUGUAACAAAGCCUUUCAUCUGCUGUGAUCUGCAUGUCAUCUCCAUAUCCUGUUAAUGUGUUUCUGUGAUAAAACUACUGUAAUUACUUUAAAAUUUGUGUUAAAAUUAGUUGUUGUAAUAUGAAAUG
This is a non-coding RNA of Paramisgurnus dabryanus, 332 nucleotides long. NCBI's taxonomy places the organism in Eukaryota, Metazoa, Chordata, Actinopteri, Cypriniformes, Cobitidae. The record is from RefSeq and is a predicted model, not a curated record.